RNAcentral lists this ribosomal RNA (370 nucleotides) under uncultured organism. RNAcentral describes it as "bacterial SSU rRNA". It matches the Rfam family "Bacterial small subunit ribosomal RNA", at positions 526 to 896 of the family's 1533-position model. The record is from RNAcentral.
CGAAGGGGGCUAGCGUUGUUCGGAAUUACUGGGCGUAAAGCGCGCGUAGGCGGUGAUCUUUGUCAGAGGUGAAAUCCCGAGGCUCAACUUCGGAAUUGCCUUUGAAACGGGAUCGCUUGAGUCCGAGAGAGGAUGGCGGAAUUCCUAGUGUAGAGGUGAAAUUCGUAGAUAUUAGGAAGAACACCGGUGGCGAAGGCGGCCAUCUGGCUCGGUACUGACGCUCAGGCGCGAAAGCGUGGGGAGCAAACAGGAUUAGAUACCCUGGUAGUCCACGCCGUAAACUAUGAAUGCUAGUUGUUGGGGGGUUUACCUCUCAGUGACGCAGCUAACGCGUUAAGCAUUCCGCCUGGGGAGUACGGUCGCAAGAUUA